This is a long non-coding RNA of Anas platyrhynchos (mallard), 524 nucleotides long. RefSeq lists it as uncharacterized. The record is from RefSeq and is a predicted model, not a curated record. Lineage: Eukaryota; Metazoa; Chordata; Aves; Anseriformes; Anatidae.
GGACCGGGGGGGGACUCGGAGGGGGACCCGGUGCUCGCCUCCUGCCCGCCCCCAGCCGCUCCCGGUGCUGGCUUUGGGGCGAGCAGCGCCCCGACAGCAGCAUCUUGGGGUUCCCCUGGCAUGGAGCAAGAGAGCUGAGCGAAGGGAGAUGGGAUCUUCCUUCCCAUCCUGGAAGCGAAGGGUCAUGCCAGCAGAGUUGCUCUUUCUUCUUUAUCUCCACUUGGCUACAUUUGGAAGAGAUUAGCGUUGCAUUUGUUUGACAUCCAGGUUAAUAGCUUCCCUUCGUCCCAGCCUCGGCUUCCGGUGUUGGCUAUCUGGAAAGCCAGGACGAAAAUUAAUUGACAAACUCUUGGGAGAGGAUCUCCAAAGAAAACUCAGACCAGAUUUGAAAAGAGGCUGCUCUGAAGUGUGCUGAUUUGGAUGGGAGCCACCGAGGGAAAAUUAGAGAUUUUCAGGAGUUUGCUGCCAAGGAGUUAAUGGCCAAGAGUUGAGGUUUGCAAUAAAUACGCUGGUAAUUAAUUAUA